RNAcentral lists this ribosomal RNA (279 nucleotides) under uncultured bacterium. RNAcentral describes it as "partial 16S ribosomal RNA". It matches the Rfam family "Bacterial small subunit ribosomal RNA", at positions 506 to 784 of the family's 1533-position model. The record is from RNAcentral.
UGCCAGCCGCCGCGGUAAUACGGAGGGUGCAAGCGUUGUUCGGAAUUAUUGGGCGUAAAGCGCGUGUAGGCGGUUCGUUAAGUCUGGCGUGAAAGCCCGGGACUCAACCCCGGAAGUGCGUUGGAUACUGGCAGUCUUGAGUAUGGGAGAGGAAAGUGGAAUUCCGAGUGUAGGAGUGAAAUCCGUAGAUAUUGGGAAGAACACCAGUGGCGAAGGCGGCUAACUGGCUCGGUACUGACGCUGAGAUGCGAAAGCGUGGGGAGCAAACAGGAUUAGAUA